Long non-coding RNA from Oreochromis aureus, 736 nucleotides. RefSeq lists it as uncharacterized. Lineage: Eukaryota; Metazoa; Chordata; Actinopteri; Cichliformes; Cichlidae. The transcript has 2 exons. The record is from RefSeq and is a predicted model, not a curated record.
GUUCUCUAAAAAGAGACGAAAAUCCCAUCACUAGUUGUGUAAUAUGCUGGUAUUGAUAUGAUCAAAAAUGAACUGAGUUGUUUUGUAUUCUAUAGAAAUUGUACAUCUAAUUAAUAACAAGGCUUUCUGCUGAUGUUAUUAAUUAAAAAUGUAUUGUUUUAUUUUUAAGCAACAACUUUGUCACGGACCCGGUUCCGGGGACUCGGGGUCCGUGAACAGUGUGGACCAUUAUUAUUAUUAUUAUUAUUAUUAUUAUUAUUAGCAUUAUCAUUAUUUGGAUUGUCUUUAUUAUUAUUAUUAUUAUUAUUAUUAUUUUGGUGUGUUGUCUGCACUGCCUCUGAUCUCUGCCCUCAUCUGUAUGUAGGCAGGUUUGUGUGUGUUUGUGUGUUGCUGUUUCUGUGGCCAAGUUACAGGCAUCUUCAGGCCUGAGGGGCGUGGCCUAGCUCGAGGACUGGCCACACCCGAAGCCCUUGCCACACACCUGCUCCUCAUCAGGGCUCGUCGGUGGAACUAUUUAGAGGAGUGAUGGAGCUUCCACCGACGCUGGAUUAUUGCGUUUGACUACACGAGAAAUGUGGGAUGAGAAGGAGCAGUGAGCACGGGGAGUGCAGGGACACUGGGGCAGAGAGCACUACACGGAGACUUUUGGGAAGAAGACACUACACGGGAGUCUGGGAAACUGGGGAUUUAUUGUCAUUUACCUCACCACCUUGUAAAUAAACACUGUUGCACUGAA